UGGGGAAUAUUGCACAAUGGGCGCAAGCCUGAUGCAGCCAUGCCGCGUGUGUGAAGAAGGCCUUCGGGUUGUAAAGCACUUUCAGCGAGGAGGAAGGUGGUGAGCUUAAUACGCUCAUCAAUUGACGUUACUCGCAGAAGAAGCACCGGCUAACUCCGUGCCAGCAGCCGCGGUAAUACGGAGGGUGCAAGCGUUAAUCGGAAUUACUGGGCGUAAAGCGCACGCAGGCGGUUUGUUAAGUCAGAUGUGAAAUCCCCGGGCUCAACCUGGGAACUGCAUUUGAAACUGGCAAGCUAGAGUCUCGUAGAGGGGGGUAGAAUUCCAGGUGUAGCGGUGAAAUGCGUAGAGAUCUGGAGGAAUACCGGUGGCGAAGGCGGCCCCCUGGACGAAGACUGACGCUCAGGUGCGAAAGCGUGGGGCAGCAAACAGGAUUAGAUACCCUGGUAGUCCACGCUGUAAACGAUGUCGAUUUUGGAGGUUGUGCCCCUUGAGGCGUGGNUUCCGGAGCUAACGCGUUAAAUCGACCGCCUGGGGAGUACGGCC
RNAcentral lists this ribosomal RNA (543 nucleotides) under uncultured bacterium. Its description in RNAcentral is "partial 16S ribosomal RNA". It matches the Rfam family "Bacterial small subunit ribosomal RNA", at positions 355 to 887 of the family's 1533-position model. The record is from RNAcentral.